AGUAAGGGUAGAGGUGCAAUAAUCAUUAGUAGAUGCAGGGAGAAGCGGAGGCUUCGGUGAAUCGCAUCGAAAGGGGACAUUGCCGAAGUGGCAGAAGCCUCAUGAUUCUGACCGCUGGUUCUGGUAUUUAAAAGAUGCAGAACUGUCAUAUAGGAGACUAUAUGGAGGGCUAUCUUACGG
RNAcentral lists this non-coding RNA (180 nucleotides) under Salimicrobium jeotgali. RNAcentral's name for it is "Lysine sequence". It matches the Rfam family "Lysine riboswitch aptamer". Rfam says of the family: Riboswitches are metabolite binding domains within certain messenger RNAs that serve as precision sensors for their corresponding targets. Allosteric rearrangement of mRNA structure is mediated by ligand binding, and this results in modulation of gene expression. The record is from Rfam by way of RNAcentral. Lineage: Bacteria; Bacillati; Bacillota; Bacilli; Caryophanales; Bacillaceae.